This 386-nucleotide ribosomal RNA is filed under the name uncultured bacterium. Its description in RNAcentral is "bacterial SSU rRNA". It matches the Rfam family "Bacterial small subunit ribosomal RNA", at positions 30 to 417 of the family's 1533-position model. The record is from RNAcentral.
AUUGAACGCUGGCGGCAUGCCUUACACAUGCAAGUCGAACGGCAGCACGGACUUCGGUCUGGUGGCGAGUGGCGAACGGGUGAGUAAUGCAUCGGAACGUGCCAUUGAGUGGGGGAUAACGUAGCGAAAGUUGCGCUAAUACCGCAUAUUCUGUGAGCAGGAAAGCAGGGGACCGCAAGGCCUUGCGCUCUUUGAGCGGCCGAUGUCAGAUUAGCUAGUUGGUGAGGUAAAGGCUUACCAAGGCGACGAUCUGUAGCGGGUCUGAGAGGAUGAUCCGCCACACUGGAACUGAGACACGGUCCAGACUCCUACGGGAGGCAGCAGUGGGGAAUUUGGACAAUAGGGGGCAACCUGAUCCAGCCAUGCCGCGUGAGUGAAGAAGGCCU